UGAUUCUUGCAAUGGGAGAAGUGCUUGGUUUUGGGUUCUACCAUGUGGUGACCUUUCCCAGUGACAGUAGGGGCAGCAAGGCACACAUCAAGUAGUUGCCAUCAAGGGUAAAAAGAUGGGGUUUUCAUCAUUGGUUUGAGAUUAUCCCUCCACAUCAUGUCAUCUUGCUUAAGGCGUUACUCUAUUCUUGUGGACUUAAUACACUAGAUGCAUGCUGGAUAGCGGUCGACGUGUGGAGUAAUAGUAGUAGAUGCAGAAAGUAUCGGUCUACUUGUUUUGGACGUGAUGCCUAUAGAUAUAAUCAUUGCCAUAGAUAUCGUCACGACUUUGCGCGGUUCUAUCAAUUGCUCGACAGUAAUUUGUUCACCCACCGUCUACUUGCUUUCAUGAGAGAAGCCACUAGUAAACACUACGGCCCCAGGUCUAUUC
RNAcentral lists this long non-coding RNA (429 nucleotides) under Hordeum vulgare. RNAcentral's name for it is "long non-coding RNA (HVUL_LNC019505)". Lineage: Eukaryota; Viridiplantae; Streptophyta; Magnoliopsida; Poales; Poaceae. The record is from RNAcentral.